This 489-nucleotide small RNA is filed under the name Arabidopsis thaliana (thale cress). RNAcentral describes it as "ATSL153100". Lineage: Eukaryota; Viridiplantae; Streptophyta; Magnoliopsida; Brassicales; Brassicaceae. The record is from RNAcentral.
AAAACACUUAGAGCAUCUCCAAUGUAAAAAUGAAGCUUUCUUCAUAGGUUCUAUGUUUUUAAGUUGGAAAAAAUAUAUCAGAAUGAUUUAUUUUUUGAGAGAGCUGUCUCUCUUGAGAUAGAUUUUGAAAAGCAAAAGAGACUAUUACGUGUCAUGUUUUGCCCGAUUUUUUGACAAAACAAGAAGAAGAAAAAAACGAUUCUUUGACAAAACAAGAAAGAAAAAAAACAGUCUUUUUGGCGAUAGCGAUUAGGUCGGAGAUUUCUCUGAUUACAUUGAUUGGGACUAAAAUCCAGUGUGAUUAAAUUGUUGAUCGAAGACUCAAUCAUAGACGAUCCUUUAGUGAAGAAGCAAAAUCACGGAGAACGGCGAGAAGAAUGUGAAAUCGAGAGCAUCGUUAGAGGAGCUUUAUGAUUUAUAGAGGCAGAGGAUGGAGAAGCGUCGGCCGGAAACAAUGUGCAUAGGUACGACCUUGAGGUUAGUUUAUUC